AACGAACGCUGGCGGCAGGCCUAAUACAUGCAAGUCGAACGCACCGCAAGGUGAGUGGCAGACGGGUGAGUAACGCGUGGGAACCUUCCUAGUAGUACGGAAUAACUUCGGGAAACCGUAGCUAAUACCGUAUAAGCCCUCCGGGGGACAGAUUUAUCGCUACUAGAUGGGCCCGCGUCGGAUUAGCUAGUUGGUGAGGUAAUGGCCCACCAAGGCGACGAUCCGUAGCUGGUCGGAGAGGAUGAUCAGCCACACUGGGACUGAGACGCGGCCCAGACUCCUACGGGAGGCAGCAGUAGGGAAUAUUGGACAAUGGGCGAAAGCCUGAUCCAGCCAUGCCGCGUGAGUGAUGAAGGCCUUAGGGUUGUAAAGCUCUUUUACCCGGGAAGAUAAUGACUGUACCGGGAGAAUAAGCCCCGGCUAACUCCGUGCCAGCAGCCGCAGUAA
Molecule: ribosomal RNA, 447 nt
Filed under: uncultured bacterium
Lineage: Bacteria
Description: partial 16S ribosomal RNA
Rfam family: Bacterial small subunit ribosomal RNA
Source: RNAcentral